GAUGAAGAACGCAGCGAAAUGCGAUAAGUAAUGUGAAUUGCAGAAUUCAGUGAAUCAUCGAAUCUUUGAACGCACAUUGCGCCCGCCAGUAUUCUGGCGGGCAUGCCUGUUCGAGCGUCAUUUCAACCCUCAAGACCCCUUCGGGGGACUUGGUGUUGGGGACCGGCACAGGGGCCUGCCUGCUUGUCUUGCAGCGCCCUCGCCGCCCCCGAAAUGAAUUGGCGGCCUCGUCGCGGCCUCCCCCGCGUAGUAGCACAACCUCGCAACGGGAACGUGACGGCGGCCACUGCCGUAAAACAACCCCAAUUUUAUUAGAGUUGACCUCGAAUCAGGUAGGAAUACCCGCUGAACUUAAGCAUAUCAAUAAGCGGAGGA
RNAcentral lists this unclassified non-coding RNA (375 nucleotides) under soil metagenome. RNAcentral describes it as "partial contains 5.8S ribosomal RNA, internal transcribed spacer 2, and large subunit ribosomal RNA". The stretch from base 1 to 120 matches the Rfam family "5.8S ribosomal RNA", at positions 35 to 154 of the family's 154-position model. The record is from RNAcentral.